GUUUUAUAUUUAACAUGGCUGAUUCCAGAAAAUCACGUGGAGAGAAACAUUUUCAAAAUAAAUCAAAUAAUUAUCCUUCAAAAACGUUACUGAUUCCAAGAAUUUAUAAAAGUGUUGCUGAAAUUUUAAGAGGGGUAGACGAGAAAACAGGUAGCCUUAAGAAUCUAGUGUAUGGCAAUGCAUCUGAACGUCGUCCAUUGCAUGUAAGUAAAUUAACAACAUUAUUGAAAUAUGUAUAUUGAAUAAAAGGUUGUAUGCCAUUAAUUACGUAUGAAAGUGAAUAUUAUAUUUCGAUAAUUGUAGCAAC
RNAcentral lists this long non-coding RNA (307 nucleotides) under Androctonus crassicauda. The record is from RNAcentral. Lineage: Eukaryota; Metazoa; Arthropoda; Arachnida; Scorpiones; Buthidae.